RNAcentral lists this ribosomal RNA (2336 nucleotides) under Triticum aestivum (bread wheat). RNAcentral's name for it is "partial small subunit ribosomal RNA". The record is from RNAcentral. Lineage: Eukaryota; Viridiplantae; Streptophyta; Magnoliopsida; Poales; Poaceae.
GUAACCUCCCCGUACGUCUAGCAUUGCUCUUCUCAAAGUCCUCGAGCCCCGCACACCACCUCCUCCUCGUUUCUCUCCUCGUCGACGCCUCCGCUCCUGCCUCAUCUCCGCCUCCCGAUUCAGACACCCAGCCCUCGAUGCCGGCGCAGGAUGAUAGAGAAGGAGAGGGUGAUCUCGAUGGCCCGAAAAGGGAGGACAAGGGUUGGUGGCAUGGGAUGGAUCUGCUCGGGAAGGUGAGAGGACAGAGACAAAGGGGGAGCACGAGGUGCUCAAGGCGGCGUAGCAGAGGACGGUGUGGAGGCGCUGUGGUGUGGCGUACGGCGUCAAGGGGGAGGUGUGCAGGGGAGUUCCGCGGGGGCGGCACCAUGGAUACGUCGUCAAGAAAGAGGUGUGUAGGGGGGGUUUCGCGGCGGGGCCGCCAUGGAUCCGCAUCCUGGUCGUGACCUUUGCGCCCCCUGCAUGCUGGCUGGCUCACAUCGCCCCUAGAUGGCAUGGAGGCCGUCCAUGACACCGCUGACGUGCCACUCUUGGAUGCCGAGGCGUUGCCCCAAAGACAUCGCCGCCGCCGCCGAGGGCCGGCCAUGAAGCCGCUGAUGUGUGAGCCAAUACAAGUUAGGGACGACCUCGUCACCCGUCAGGUGAGUUUGGCCCCCUUUCCUUCAACCUGUUCGAAACUGUUGUGUGUUUGGGUGCUGUUCCUAGGACAUUGACAUGUUUUGGACCUUUGAUGAUAGUUGUUGGUGUAGAUUUUGGCCAUUUACAGUGCCUCUGCCGUGGCUACGUCUGUGUGUAGUUUUGAAAUGGACCGCUGCAUGUUUUGUUAGUUUGCUCUUUCAUGCAUUUUGCCAGUAAUUCCAUCCAUACACUAAUCAUUCUGAAGUUUCAAACGUUUUGCACAAAACAAAAGACUGCGAGUUCGAGUGUCCAAUGGACACGGAAUGAAUACAACCUUGCAUACAGUGGCGGAGCUACAGCAGGGCCAAACAUGGCCAUGGCCCGCCCAGCCAAACAAGAGUUCAGUGUAGAGUGGAGCUCAUUUUGGCCCCUGGGUGCAAAUUUUCAGGCGCAUAUCUUAAUCUAGCCCUUUUUGGCCCGCCCAGUGAUGUGUGUGUAGCUCCGCCACUGCUUGCAUACCAUCUCGCUGGAGUUCUGGAACCAAACGCUCCAGAUAAAGGAACGGAAAAAAUAUAGCAAGCAUAAAAAUGUUUACAAAAUUUUAUUGCUCAUUACUUAUGAAGACAAUGGUAUUUAUCUUCCAUAUUUCUGUGGUUCAUUCCUUGCUACAAAGUCAACUCUAUCUCCCUGCACCCUCCAAAUCUUGUGCUUCAGGGAUGCCAUCUAUAUACGUAUGAAUUUUCUUUGCUUCUAUAUAUCUGUGCCUGCAGCUGGCUUACAUGUAUUAUCUUAUGAGAUGGACGUCCUUCUAUUUGCUGAUUGUACGUUAGGUCACAAGAAUUAGGGGGCUUAGGAACUCACAUGAACGAGGUAUCAAACCCUCUCAAAGGUUCUCAUGUAUGCUAUUCAUUUCUGCAGACUUUUAUUUUAUUUCUUUCAAUGCUUCCGCAACCAGGUGUAUCUAAAGCAUGAUUUUAGUACAAAAUUUUAUCAGUCGGAGAUUACUUGAAGGAUUUGUGGAAAUUAGAGUGUGGGGAUCUGAAAGAAUUUUUGGCAAGAAAAAACCAAUAUUAGCAUGGUCGAGAUACUAUAGAGGAGAUCAGUAGGCUGAAAGCAAGAGCAACCUAACAUCAUUUUCCGUAGAAUAUUGAUAAUCAGCUUCAACUAUCGCUUUAGGCUGCAGUUUGGUUGUUGACCAAUUUUUUUGCGAGCCCAGCUCAGCUUGUGUCCUCCCAUGAAUUUUCUGCCCAUACAUGCUGAGCUCUCCCGUUAAUCCUCUCUCUCUUCAACUCAAGUCAGCUCUUUCCUCUCUCUAAUUACUUCUCCUGCAGCUGAAUCAGGUACGUCAGCGUAAAGUGGCGCAGGGUGUUGUAGUUUGGCUUUUUGUUUUUCUUUGCAAUGGAUUAUGAGUUGAUAUGAAAUCCCAUGGCAUAUUUGAAAGCAUUAGUCUGAUUACUACUUAGGCUACAGUAAAGUGGUUCAUGUGUAAGAUACAGCCUGAGCAUGAAGUGGUCUACUCUUUCCUUCUUUCAGGUCAUUUUGGAGUUGUAAUCAAAGAUUUGGUAGCAGAUCGUACCAAGGCAGGUGUAAUGUGCAUCCAAGAUCAAUAUUUUGUCUUGCUUUCGUUGAAUGUAAUACCAUUGUCUUCAUACCGUUUUUAAGUAUCUUUUGCGUGGGAUUUUAUACAUUUUCCUAUUGCUUUUUAUGGAGAUGUAGUUUGG